UGUGUGUGUGUGUGUGUGUGUGAGUGAAGUUAAUGCACUGUCACCAGCACACAGAUGCUUUAGCCUCUGGCUCUGCUGAUUUUCACACAGUAUAUAAAGACUCACCCUUCAUUUCCAAACCACUGCCCUUUGUCUGACUAACAUUGUACUAAUUAAAACCAUUUCACCAGAAAAAACUCCCUCGACUCCAGACCCUGAACCAAAUCCAGCCAGAAAAGUGUCGGCUACGGCAGGUUGAGCAAAAGUCAGAAAUUACUCUCCGUGGAUGAUAGUAAUGUGUGGAAGCUCCACAGAGAGAAUGAACCAUGUUCUGCUGGAGAAAAGGCUUUCAUAUAUUGAAAUAAUUAUAUUAAUAUUAUGGACUGUUUUUCUUUAAAGACAAGUUAAAUAAUUCAUACAUAAAUCAUUAGAACUACAGUAUUUGAGGCCCUAGAAACAACUCUUAAUCAGUGAUAACAGACAAUGUAAUGGGAGUUAAUUGCAGACGUGGGUGUGUUAAUGUGGCAGCUCUGUUUAAGAGAAGUCCCGUGGGGCCAAAAAAAGCUGAAAGUAUUCAAAAAGUUGUAGGAAGUUUCAAUGAAAUCCUCGUCAAAGUUCACAAAGCGUCUCCCCAAAUUGCCUUUGACCCACUUUCCCUCUGUUUUAACUACAGUUCUGUGAACAUCCACUUCUUUUACAUGCUGUAAUUGUAUAAUUCCCAGUCUUCUUAAUAAGCUCACUGUCUGAAUAGCUGCUCUUACGCGUGAGUGUCUGCGACCGCUUUGUCAGGUUUUAACAUAGAAAUAUUCCCUCACAUCAGCUUUAUUUGAAUUUCACUGACUAAACCAGGCUGCCGAGAACUUUUCAAUGGGGUAGAUUUAAUAAUGGUGGGGGGGUUAAAAAUAUAAAUAUACAUGAAUAAAAGUAGCCAAAAUAUCAAUAAAAGAAUAAAAGUAAAACCUGAUUAACUAAUAUCAAAAUAGCUUAAACUUAAUGAUAGAAUUUAAAUAGUAUUAUAAAAUGCAAUAAAAUGGUAUAUGUUAGCUUUAAGAAAAGAAAACAACUAAAAAUAAAUAUUUAAAAACGCUAUCAUUAAUAUAUUCAUACUUCUUUUUGCACAUUUUUAGAUGUUUUUGGUAUACAAAGCUACUAUGGCAUAUGCAAUUGCUUGUAAGUUUUAAUUUUUUUGACUAUUUCUGACUAUUGAUCGACUUUUUUGAUAUAUAUAUAUUUACUAUUUUUGAAUUAUGUUAUCGAUUCAAGAUAACCUUUAAUUUUGUGGCUAAAUUCUUGACUAUCUUCAAGCAAAGUCGGGUCAUUUUUUAAAUGUGUUAAAUACCUUUCGAACAAAUUCACGCUGACUUCUUUUUCCUAAUCUUUAGUAGUUGUUGUAUUUUCUUUUCUUAUCUUUGCAAUGAUCAAAUUUGCUCAGCUGACCUUAAACAGCUUCCUUUUCUCCAACUCCCUCCUCUGUGGGCUGAGACGUUCCCUCCGUACAGUGCGAUUAUCCCUGACCAUUUAUCAGACUUGUCAGAGGAGUUAUCAGACAGAAUAUCUGAAGAAAUCAGCUAAUCCUCACAUAUCUGAUGGACUGGAGGAGGGGGCUUUGUACCACGAGCUGAACAGACUGCUGUUCCUGCCAAGUUCACAUUGUAGUCAUUUGUGGGCUAAAAUCCGUUUGCUCAGGUAGACUUUAGGAACGUUGACCUGAGCCUGAUUUGUAAUUAUAUUCUGGGAAAUUAUGUGGCCACAUUAUUAGUGAUCCAAUUGCUUCAGCAAUUUGGCUAACUUUUAGCUUAUUCUGGCUUAGCUCCAGUUAACUGAGAAUGGCUUUAGGGAUAAAUUCUAGAUAAAAGCUGUUCUGAUUUUCAUUAAGUGGGCUAAAUUUGACCAAUUUUGGCUAACUAUAAAUAAAAUGGCUUCCAUUAGUCAUGUAUUAGCUCGACUUUUUUAAAAAAAGGUUAUGCUGUUAUCCUUUAGACAUAUUGUGUAUACUUUGACUACUUUGUAAGAUGCUAAAUAACUUGUAGUCAUUUCUGGUUUCAUAAUUAGCUUUACGCUGUUGUAUUUUCAAGCUGACACUAAACUGUUUCCUUUUCUGGAGCGCUCUCCCCUUUGACCAGGCAGAGCUUUGAUGUUUCCUCUGUACAGAGCCGCUGGUGAACGCUGUGUUAUUAUCCCUGACCAUCUAUCAGACUUGUCAAAGGAGUUAUCAGACGGAAUAUCUAAAGAAAUCAUCUGAUCCUCAUGUAUCUGAUCAACUGAAGAUUGGGCUUCGUACCACAUCUGAACAACCUUUGAUUUAAGUCCAGCUCCACGGUGGAACAUUCAGCUCUAUCUGAAAUAUGUGACAGGGGUUUGUCUCGCGUGUGUUUGCGGUGCCAUUAUUGAGGAGCCGUCUGUGGUAAUAGCAGAAGAAGGUCGGACAAUAAUCCCGUGUUUUACUACAGCGCAGGCAGAUUGAUUCAGCCCUCACUGAUUCAAUGCAUUUUAAACAGCUUGUGCCUCCGCCACUCGGACAUUUGCAUGAGGGAUUGUUUAAAGGCAGAACGUGCUGCUGCUGUUUCUAGUUACUGUCAGUGAGUUUAGGACCUUUGAUGAAUGAUCAUAGUUUUUCCAGCACCUGCCUGUCUUUCCGAGCCCUGGCGCUCAUACAUUAAUGAGAUGCCAUGACUGCAGAUACAGCAUGUGUACACAAACAUACAGAGGGUGUCUCUCUUACAUGCCGUCCUGGCGGGUGACGGUGUGCCCGUACUCCGGGUAGUGCAGGAAAGACACGUUGACUCCAAUCAGCGGUGUCCCGUCUCCCGUGAGGACCUGACCCCGGAUGACUGAUGCCAGGCUGUGUUGGGGGCAAGCAAACACAGAAAAGGGCUGAGUAAACAAACAGAGGCAGCAUCAGAGAGGCAGGCCGAGGCAGAGACGCCGCUAACAGCUGCGGUCCCUGUGCCAGCGGCGGCAGCAGGGAGCUGUGAUUUAUCGAGCGUUAAAGACACACGCACGUCAGGAGAGGCUGUUAUUUAUGAAAAUGCUUCCUCGUCCGCUAACUCCCUGCAUCUGUUUACUGCUGUUAACAUCCCACAAUUCAGAGCAAUGAGAUUUUUAAAGACAUCAAGGGCCGCGGAGGUUUUUACAUAAUCUUGCAAAUGUAUUACAGCAUUUUUUAUUCCACCAGUGCAGAGACAGAAUUACAUUUUCUCCCGCUUCUUUGUCCUGUAAGCCAUUUGUAAAAAAAUAAAUAAAAAAGGCAGAAAAGAGAAUGCUGCUUGCCAGAACAAAUAGCUCUGGGUGUUUUUUAAAUCUGUGAGACCAACAUUAAAACACUGGCAGUGUAAAACACACAUGACAUUAUUUAGCCCAGUGUUUCUGCUGUAGAAACCUGGGUGUGAGGCUCUCUCUGAUAAGUGGUGAGAUGUAUUUAGUUGGUGGUGCUACAUUGAAUAAACAACAUUUCUCAUUAUUUACAAACA
This is a long non-coding RNA of Cynoglossus semilaevis (tongue sole), 3449 nucleotides long. RefSeq lists it as uncharacterized. Lineage: Eukaryota; Metazoa; Chordata; Actinopteri; Pleuronectiformes; Cynoglossidae. The transcript is spliced from 2 exons. The record is from RefSeq and is a predicted model, not a curated record.